CUGGAGACUAACUGCUCCAAUAGAUAAAACACUCUCAUUCUGAGUGGAGAGUGAGGUCUAGCAUGCCUUGGGGGGCUCUCUGUGCUAAGUAGAUCAUGGAUUCAUAGCUGUUGCCCAACUCGGAGGCAAAUCAGAAUGAGCACAGCCUGGGGACCCUUUCAGUCUAGCUUGGAAAUCCCUGUUCUUUCUGUAGCAUAGGUUUGUGCUGCCACAAGCUGAACCUUCAAAAUAAAACCUAAGGGGGCUGGUGAUGACUCAUUAAAUAAAUUGGUAUUGCUGCCGUCCUGUCCCAUUCACCCGAUGCAAAGGACUUGGUAAUGGGCUAAUAACACACCCGGCAGAGGAGUGCAACCCAGGAGCUAAACCGUGGUUUUGGUCACAGUCGUCUGUGAAUGUGAGUUUCAGAAGAGACAUAAAGCCUUAACUUAGAUUUUCUGUUGUGUUGGAAUUGUCGCUGCCUUAACGCUCAAGCCCUGUUUAAGCCCUCCGGUCCCGGGAGAGCUGCAUGUGUGCUCGUGGUUCUUUGUAAAUAGAAGUGCAGUGAUCUAUGGCUUUAAGUUUUUGUGUCUGUGGCAAUGUGUCUUUAUAUAUAGUUACAGGAAAAAGAAUGGAGCAUGUAAUUGUCCUUCAUGUGCAAGAACUGUUCCCACCAAACCUUAGUUACCUGAACUCCCCUAAGGUUGUAAACAUAAAUUCAGUGAUUAAAGAGAAUUCUACACCAAAAAAAAAAAAAAAAAAA
RNAcentral lists this long non-coding RNA (739 nucleotides) under Rattus norvegicus (Norway rat). Its description in RNAcentral is "long non-coding RNA NONRATT026863". The record is from RNAcentral. Lineage: Eukaryota; Metazoa; Chordata; Mammalia; Rodentia; Muridae.